Lontra canadensis (Northern American river otter) is the source of this 637-nucleotide long non-coding RNA. RefSeq lists it as uncharacterized. The transcript has 3 exons. The record is from RefSeq and is a predicted model, not a curated record. NCBI's taxonomy places the organism in Eukaryota, Metazoa, Chordata, Mammalia, Carnivora, Mustelidae.
UAUCCAUCCUUCUGAUAUGUUUCCAAACUUUUACUAUAGAAAUACAUAAUAUUAUUUGGGGUUAAAAAAAGUAAUGUUAAUUUCAUCAAAUGGGACAUUUUCUUUUGAAACUUGCCCUUUUCACUCAACAUGUUUUUGACAUUUAUUUAUCCAUUGUGCUGGUUAAUUUUAGGUGGCGACUGGACUGGGCCACUCAGGGCCCAGAGACUUGGUUAAACAGAAUUCCUCAUGCGUCUGGAUGUUUCUGAAUGAGAUUUAAAAAUUUGAAUCCACAGACUGAGUAAAGCUGAUUGCACUCCCCAGUGUGGUUGGGCCUCAACCAAUUCAUUGUCAGCUUGAAUAAAAAAAGAUAGAGUAAGAGAAUUCUCUCUCCACUUGCCUGUCUGAGCUGAGACACUGGCCUUCGGAAUCAGACUGGGACUCCAUCGUCAGCUCUACUGGUACUCUAGCUUGCUGACUUCAGAUACUGGGAACUUCUCUGCCUCCACAAUUAUGAUCAAUCUGUUGCCCAAGUUUUAAAAUCAUUUGAAAGGCCAGACUUCCCUUUGCCUGCAGGUCUGAAUUAGUAGGCAUUCAGUGGCCUAUAAUGAAUGAUUUUACUUAUUUACUUGCCAGAGACAGAGAAUGAGCACAAGCA